Molecule: ribosomal RNA, 1372 nt
Filed under: uncultured bacterium
Lineage: Bacteria
Description: bacterial SSU rRNA
Rfam family: Bacterial small subunit ribosomal RNA
Source: RNAcentral
GAUGAACGCUGGCGGCGUGCCUAAUACAUGCAAGUCGAGCGAACGGACGAGAAGCUUGCUUCUCUGAUGUUAGCGGCGGACGGGUGAGUAACACGUGGAUAACCUACCUAUAAGACUGGGAUAACUUCGGGAAACCGGAGCUAAUACCGGAUAAUAUUUUGAACCGCAUGGUUCAAAAGUGAAAGACGGUCUUGCUGUCACUUAUAGAUGGAUCCGCGCUGCAUUAGCUAGUUGGUAAGGUAACGGCUUACCAAGGCAACGAUGCAUAGCCGACCUGAGAGGGUGAUCGGCCACACUGGAACUGAGACACGGUCCAGACUCCUACGGGAGGCAGCAGUAGGGAAUCUUCCGCAAUGGGCGAAAGCCUGACGGAGCAACGCCGCGUGAGUGAUGAAGGUCUUCGGAUCGUAAAACUCUGUUAUUAGGGAAGAACAUAUGUGUAAGUAACUGUGCACAUCUUGACGGUACCUAAUCAGAAAGCCACGGCUAACUACGUGCCAGCAGCCGCGGUAAUACGUAGGUGGCAAGCGUUAUCCGGAAUUAUUGGGCGUAAAGCGCGCGUAGGCGGUUUUUUAAGUCUGAUGUGAAAGCCCACGGCUCAACCGUGGAGGGUCAUUGGAAACUGGAAAACUUGAGUGCAGAAGAGGAAAGUGGAAUUCCAUGUGUAGCGGUGAAAUGCGCAGAGAUAUGGAGGAACACCAGUGGCGAAGGCGACUUUCUGGUCUGUAACUGACGCUGAUGUGCGAAAGCGUGGGGAUCAAACAGGAUUAGAUACCCUGGUAGUCCACGCCGUAAACGAUGAGUGCUAAGUGUUAGGGGGUUUCCGCCCCUUAGUGCUGCAGCUAACGCAUUAAGCACUCCGCCUGGGGAGUACGACCGCAAGGUUGAAACUCAAGGGAAUUGACGGGGACCCGCACAAGCGGUGGAGCAUGUGGUUUAAUUCGAAGCAACGCGAAGAACCUUACCAGCUCUUGACAUCCUUUGACAACUCUAGAGAUAGAGCCUUCCCCUUCGGGGGACAAAGUGACAGGUGGUGCAUGGUUGUCGUCAGCUCGUGUCGUGAGAUGUUGGGUUAAGUCCCGCAACGAGCGCAACCCUUAAGCUUAGUUGCCAUCAUUAAGUUGGGCACUCUAAGUUGACUGCCGGUGACAAACCGGAGGAAGGUGGGGAUGACGUCAAAUCAUCAUGCCCCUUAUGAUUUGGGCUACACACGUGCUACAAUGGACAAUACAAAGGGCAGCGAAACCGCGAGGUCAAGCAAAUCCCAUAAAGUUGUUCUCAGUUCGGAUUGUAGUCUGCAACUCGACUACAUGAAGCUGGAAUCGCUAGUAAUCGUAGGUCAGCAUGCUACGGUGAAUACGUUCCCGGGUCU